UGAUAGUGAUGAGGACAACUUCUGAGCAUGCCCUUGAAUCUUUUCCAAGCUUGGUAGAGAUUUUCUUUAUCUUUCUAUUUGAAACUUAAUAUCUCACUCCUUAAUCA
Molecule: small nucleolar RNA, 107 nt
Filed under: Capsicum annuum
Lineage: Eukaryota; Viridiplantae; Streptophyta; Magnoliopsida; Solanales; Solanaceae
Description: Plant small nucleolar RNA R71
Rfam family: Plant small nucleolar RNA R71
About the family: R71 is a member of the C/D box family of snoRNAs containing the C (UGAUGA) and D (CUGA) box motifs. Multiple nearly identical copies of this snoRNA have been identified in Arabidopsis, and it is thought to function as a 2'-O-ribose methylation guide for 18S ribosomal RNA.
Source: Rfam by way of RNAcentral